GAUGAUCCUCUAGCCCUCAAUAUGCUAUGACAUGAUGUGGAAUGAUAUGAUAUGGCAUGUACGAUAUGAUAUGAGAUGAGAAGUCCAGGUGUGGCCGUAUCGCCCCUGGCAUAGAGCAUGAGAAGUCCAGGUGUGGCCGUAUCGCCCCUGGCAUAGAGUAUGUGAAGUCCAGGCGUGGCCGUAUCGCCCCUGGCAUAGAGUAUUGUUGACUUGUUAUGGUACGAGAUUGAUAUGUAGAGGGCUAUUGGUGACAGAUUCAUCCUUGAGGUGAUAUAUUUGUGAUGUGACGCAUUCCAUGAUAGCAUAUGUUAAAAUGAACUGUUUUCUUUUAUGGUUUCUGCUCACUGGGCUUUUUAGCUCACCCCUCUCCCCUAACCCCAGGUUUGCAGGGUCAGAGAUAGUCAGGAGAUCAGCAAGUUACGUCCAUGGUCAUGUUUAUGUAAUAGAAUAGUAGUGGAC
Molecule: long non-coding RNA, 459 nt
Filed under: Manihot esculenta (cassava)
Lineage: Eukaryota; Viridiplantae; Streptophyta; Magnoliopsida; Malpighiales; Euphorbiaceae
Description: long non-coding RNA (MESC_LNC003016)
Source: RNAcentral